CAGAGCGGUAGCAGCAUGGGAGUGUCGGAGCCACAUUCUGGAUUGCCAGGGAGCAAUUUAAAAGUCAGCUCCACCUUCAGGACAUGAACGGAAGGGAGUUAAUGGAAAACAGCAGGCUUCCAUUCUGCCUGCACCGUGAUGCCAGAAACAAGGGAGGGGGCAGACAUCAGAACUAUGCCCAUUUGAUCGAUGAGGAAACAGUUCAAGGGUGAACCAGCUGGCCAGUGUUCUGGAGCUGGUGCAGUACCAUCCGUCCCAUCACAUCACUGUUACAGGAUCAUUGACUGUGUUCCUUAUGCCGAGCCUAUGGCUUCCUUAUUCAUUCCAUAACUGGAAAACUGUGCCUCCCAC
Molecule: long non-coding RNA, 351 nt
Organism: Lontra canadensis (Northern American river otter)
Lineage: Eukaryota; Metazoa; Chordata; Mammalia; Carnivora; Mustelidae
Exons: 3
Source: RefSeq, a predicted model, not a curated record